Molecule: ribosomal RNA, 459 nt
Filed under: uncultured bacterium
Lineage: Bacteria
Description: SSU rRNA
Rfam family: Bacterial small subunit ribosomal RNA
Source: RNAcentral
AGAAUCAACGCUGGCGGCGUGCCUAACACAUGCAAGUCGAACGAGAAAGUGGAGCAAUCCAUGAGUAAAGUGGCGCACGGGUGAGUAACACGUGACUAACCUACCCUGGAGUGGGGGAUAACUGAGGGAAACCUUAGCUAAUACCGCAUAAUACCUACGGGUCAAAGGAGCAAUUCGCUUUGGGAGGGGGUCGCGGCCGAUUAGUUAGUUGGCGGGGUAAUGGCCCACCAAGACGAUGAUCGGUAUCCGGCCUGAGAGGGCGCACGGACACACUGGAACUGAAACACGGUCCAGACUCCUACGGGAGGCAGCAGUGGGGAAUUUGCGCAAUGGGGGAAACCCUGACGCAGCAACGCCGCGUGGAGGAUGAAGUCCUUCGGGACGUAAACUCCUUUCGAUCGGGACGAUUAUGACGGUACCGGAAGAAGAAGCCCCGGCUAACUUCGCGCCAGCAGCCGC